UACGGAGGGUGCAAGCGUUAUUCGGAUUCACUGGGCGUAAAGGGUGCGCAGGCGGCCAAGUGUGUGAGGCGUGAAAGCCUGGAGCUUAACUCUAGAAUUGCACCUCAAACUACUUGGCUAGAGCAUUGGAGAGGGUAGCAGAAUUCACGGUGUAGCAGUGAAAUGCGUAGAUAUCGUGAGGAAUACCAGAGGCGAAGGCGGCUACCUGGACAAUUGCUGACGCUCAGGCACGAAAGCGUGGGGAGCAAAAGGG
This 253-nucleotide ribosomal RNA is filed under the name uncultured bacterium. Its description in RNAcentral is "partial 16S ribosomal RNA". It matches the Rfam family "Bacterial small subunit ribosomal RNA", at positions 524 to 776 of the family's 1533-position model. The record is from RNAcentral.